This is a long non-coding RNA of Triticum dicoccoides, 1318 nucleotides long. RefSeq lists it as uncharacterized. Lineage: Eukaryota; Viridiplantae; Streptophyta; Magnoliopsida; Poales; Poaceae. The transcript is spliced from 3 exons. The record is from RefSeq and is a predicted model, not a curated record.
AGAGGGAGGGCGUCGCCGGCGUUGUGAACCCAUGCGGGCGCAACAGGGUGUGCGCGUGCCUCCGCGGGUUGCGCCGCGGUGGCCGGAGGCGUCGGCACCGCGGGUCAACCGUGUCGGGCAGGAUGGGCACCGCACGCCGUGGUCGUCGGAUCUGUCCGCUGCGUGUCCGGCUCCGGCACCUGGCGGCUUGGCGAGGCAGGCGGGGGAGCGGGGAGGGGAGGGGUGAGGGCAGCGAGGCCCUCACGUGCCGCGAUGGGCGGCGGCGACCUGUUCGCCCUCGACUUUGACCUCGUCUUCUGCGACAGCUGCGGCCAGAGCUCCCUCUCCACCGUCAAGGCUGCCAAGGUGAGGUGGCCGUGGGUGUUUGAGCAGGUCGACUCCGCCAUGGAGGAGUGGAUAGUGGAGCAGAUGCACCCGUUUCCCCGCAAGUCGAUGGUGUGCUGACCCUGUAAGCCUGGCUGGCUGUAUUGCGUCUCGAGGAUGCGACAGAGGUGGCACACGAGCCGACGAAAGAGGAAUAAUUGAAACCCCAAUGCCUCCACACAUUCUUGCUCCCUGACAAUGGGAGUAGUAGGUUUGGUGCCCGUGGUGUUCGUGCUCAUUGGCGGGAAGGUGCAAGGAGGUUCCUUGCUGGUUCCUUGCUGGUUGGAUGGCGUUCAUGCGCAACCCCGGCACCUACUAAGUACUGCCUCGGCUACAACCUCCCUCAGUGAGCUCUAUCUUCCUCAUGUUACUCUGCUUUGGCUGCAUGGAGGGAGCCCUCGAGCUCCCUCAGUGAUUUGGAAGAUCUGCCCGUCCAUUGUGUUUCCUUUAUGUGUUUCUGGCCGUUGGAUUGAGGCGUUGGACGACCUCGACCGUCGGGUCGAGAGCUUGACAGUGUCGCAAUGAAUAUUCCUGCUCGUUCGUGCCACCGCCUGUAAAAUUGGGUGGCCGCCGAGGGCAUUCUCAUCAUUUUGCACACAUCCGUAUAAAAGCAGCACGCCCGUGGUGAAAGCCCUACCCACUUCUCUCCUUUCCCACUCCUUAGUCCUUGCCCCGACUCUGGUUGUUGUUCAUGUUCAGUUGCUGUGAUAGGAGCUCCUGUGAUGCUCUGGUUUACAUGUGGGGGCCCUGGUCCUAUAGCUAUGCUCCUGGAUUUGCUAAAUUGACCAGUGGCGUUGGUGCUGGGGCGAUGAUGAUCGGCCGUGGCUGAAAUAAUUGCGCCUUUGAGCAAUCGAGGCACCUGUGGGUAUCAAGUUGGAUCCUCCCUCUUGUCUCUUGAUUCCUUUUUGAUCCUGUGAUACUUGUUGUUCUGUCCUUGGAUGGUCAUUCUUGUUGA